This is a long non-coding RNA of Pseudopipra pipra, 3444 nucleotides long. RefSeq lists it as uncharacterized. The transcript is spliced from 6 exons. The record is from RefSeq and is a predicted model, not a curated record. NCBI's taxonomy places the organism in Eukaryota, Metazoa, Chordata, Aves, Passeriformes, Pipridae.
GGAAACAAAUGCUUGGUAUUUGUAGGACAUUGUGCGCUUGGAGUAACAUGCAAUUGUAGGAAAGAUCAACACAGAAAAGCAGAAUCCUGAGGCUGAGCUCAACCUGAUCUUGACUUGCUGAGUGGUAUCAGUCAUAGUUUCAAAAAUGUCAAAGGAGCCACAACUGAGCAUUUCUUCUGUUCCCACCUGUGCUUUGGGUUGUGAAAGAAUAACAUUAGUACAUAGAGACCUUGACUUCCUCUUGGAUGCAUCUGGAAGAUUUUAUUAGGCAGUCCACUGUGCCUGUGAUCUGUCUGAGAGCAGCUGAUGAUGAGCAUCGCCAAGAUAUUGCACUGGGCUGCUGAUAAUUUUGUCUUUUCAAUGACUUGAAAAACUGGAUUCAUGGAACAUCACUCUCGCAAACCACAGCCUCACCAUGGGGACAUCGGGGCAGCCACAGCUGUACUAAGUAUCUUCACCAGCAAUCUGUCACCCUCUGACAAAUCUUUUCUUCUUGAAGGUGACUGUGGGUGGUCUUCCCUUGUCCAAUUUCUGUAAAUUCGGUGCAUCGCUUUCUAGUCAUGCAGCUGAUACUUGUGUUUAUAUGAAUGGCUGUUAAAAAAAAAGGAAAGAUCAGAUGUUUGUUGUUUCAUUUCAACAUAAAUCAAACUUUGUACUCACAUAGCAAUUCUACUUUAGCCCCAGGAAUAGCUUUAGUAUUGCUAAGUGUCUGGAGAGUAUUGACUACAGAGACAUGAUUUUAAGCAGGCUAUAAUAGUUUCUACAGCUGUUAACAGUUCUCAGAAGAAAGGCAGUAUUAUUCACUAGUGUUUAAAAUGUGCAUGACUUGCAUUGCACAGAAGUCAGAUUGGGAGAAUGUCAGAAUUUUUUUCUGAAAUUCUGCCAGGAAAGUCUUCAAUAACUGGAGAAAUUCUUUUCACUGGUGAAAUCAACAUGCAGCACAUUGUGUUAUUAUACUUGCUUAUAGCUCACCAUGAAAGUUGUCUUUGUAUGCGUGGAUGUACGGCUUGUACUGUUUUGUUUUUAUUUAUUCUGCAUUCUUUAUUAUAAUGUUCUUUCCUUUUUUUCCAGACCAGAAAGAUUGUUAUUGAGCCUUCCACAAAGCUGAAAUAAUGCUGUGUGUUAAAAAAAUGUUAACAAUUUGAAGAAGUUAUAAAAAUUUAUAAGUUGGCUGAAUAGUUUAGAAAUUUCUGCAUAUUUUAAUAUAAAUAGGUAAUGCAAAUGUUUGUUCUUUGCAUUUAGAGGUGGGUCUCUGUUUUCUAAAGGUCUUGUAUAUAAAUUUGAUUCUUAAAAUUACAUUAGAACAAAACCAGUAUUUUUUUCAGAUUGUAUAAUAGGAAAAAUGUAUUCCAAAAGACAUAGAACAUACAUGGUUAUCUCUGAAUGUCAUAAAGUCAUGAAAUUCAAUAUAAAUAGCAUCAGUUGUUUGAAUGGCUUCAUUAAGUGCAUUUAGGGGACUGCCUGUUGCAGUCAGCUGAGGUCCUUCCAUUCAGUUCCACGGGUGCUGGGUUGGCCCACAAAGAAAAGACCAGUUAACUGAGAGAUAAAAGGAGGUGAUUUCUCUAUAGAUAGUAUGAAGUUCCAAAUGGUGCUGGUGUAGGUUAGAUAGAAAUGCAGUUACAUAAAAUCAAAGAAAUCACAGAAAAUGAAAUUAUUUCAGGUGAAUUUGGUAUUAGUGAUGAGUUUGAGCUUUAUUCAUAUCUAAAAACAUAGAACAAGACAAGUGAGUCCAAAAGAAAGAAAGGAAGAGUAGAAAUGGGUGACAGAGAAGAGGUGAGUGACAGGAUACCGGCAGGUGGGCAAGGACCUAAAUGGUGACAGACAGUUUUAACAACUAGUCCAAAAAGAUCAAAUGUUCAAAGGUUAUGAUCCACCAGAGGUGCUGAUUGGGUAAAUAACUGAAAAGACAGUCAUUAAGCUGCUUUUUGGAGGGGGUGGGGAGGGAGAGCAAUGCGAGUUUUGGGUGAUUGUACCACAGAGUAGAGAGGGUUUGUUAAGUUUCCCUGGAGGAGAAUGAAUGUCUGAUACUCCCAGACAAUUUCUUCACAAGCUGCUGUAGCAGCCAUGAGGAGUGACCUGGAGAGCUGCAGCUCUGGUGAUGUCCCCUGGCCUGCACACUGUGUGCAGCUGGGGUGCUUUGCCUGUGCUACUGGGGUACCUCUUCCAGCUUAGUCCCAUCUGAAGGGAAUCCAGGCUGUGCUCAGGGACUGCACAAGGAGUGGGGCAUUUGAGGGGCUGGCUCCAGAAGCUCACUGCUGCUCCAAACCUGGACACUGAUGGAAGUGUGCCCUGUAGAACCGUGGGGUGGCAGUGGUGGCGUGGCACAGGGCAGAGGGAAUACUCAGAAUGUACUGUUCUAUGUUACAGGUGCUAGCAGCAUGUGGAGCCGAGAGCAGUGAAAGCCCAAAGGAGUACUGCAUACACUGAAGAGGUCACCAGGAGCUGUUGUGCAGGUUUCUGGAAGAUCUCUCUCUGGGAGAAGGAGGGCUGCUGUGAGUCUUAUUUCACUGUGAUCAAGUUAUUCCUCCCAGACAGUGUGAAAGACAAAUCGGGGAGUUUUGGAUACCAUCUCUUGAAGAGAAUGAAUCUGGAUUCAAUGCAGCUGGCUGUAGAAAGAUUUCUUUAACUGGGAAGAUAUGACAGGUUGUGAUAUCGGACUGCAGUGAAGCUCCACCUGUGCUGUUCUACCCUUCAUGAGUGAGCAGUGCUGGGCAGUGCAGCAGGCAUGCUCCUGCCCUUUUCAGAAGGCGUGGAGAACACUUGUCCAGUCAUAACUGAAACCAUUCAAGAUGCACAGACCUGAAAUGUCACCUUAAGUUUCUGUUGCUCUCUGAUGCGGAUCCUGUCUUCUAGCAAACUUUAUGGACAACAGCUUUUGUUACAAGGAGAGAUGGUUUGAUCCUCUCCUUAAUGCAAGCCCCACACCUUCACCUAGAUUCCUUCCUGGGCAGCUGCAGUGGAUCUGAACACCAAGGGAAUUUGACCCACUGGAUUCCUUUCCUUUCUCUGCAGUUGAAUGAAAAGUGUGUGUCUUUUGAAGAACAGCAACUGAAAGAAAUAUUGAUGACUGCCAGAGCAUCUACAGAAAAGGAUAAGAAAAUUACAACAACAGUGGAGACAAAGGGGCUUUGUUAACUCUUUCUUGUAGGUUGUAUAUAUUAAUAGAAACAAGUAAAGUUUUGUAUUUUUUAAGAGAAACACACAAGGCUUUGAACUGUAUUGUUUUAAUUGCAGCUAACUGAAUGAAUUAAGUGGAAAAGUGCACACAGUACUUUGAUUGUCUAACUCUCUGUAUGUGAGGCUUGGGGAACAGUUUGUUAUUAUAAAAGAAUAGUACUAACAAGAAAACAGCCAGCAUGUAAUUGCUGGGUUGAGGGGCAGUUUGGGGAAGGCUGAUACUUAUUUAUAAAUUAUUAAAUAAAAGCACAUAAUAAGUGGAUUAUC